RNAcentral lists this ribosomal RNA (301 nucleotides) under uncultured bacterium. Its description in RNAcentral is "partial 16S ribosomal RNA". It matches the Rfam family "Bacterial small subunit ribosomal RNA", at positions 509 to 809 of the family's 1533-position model. The record is from RNAcentral.
CAGUCGCCGCGGGAAUACAGAGGGUGCGAGCGUUAAUCGGAUUUACUGGGCGUAAAGCGUGCGUAGGCGGCUAAUUGAGUCGGAUGUGAAAUCCCCGAGCUUAACUUGGGAAUUGCAUUUGAUACUGGUUAGCUAGAGUGUGGGAGAGGAUGGUAGAAUUCCAGGUGUAGCGGUGAAAUGCGUAGAGAUCUGGAGGAAUACCGAUGGCGAAGGCAGCCAUCUGGCCUAACACUGACGCUGAGGUACGAAAGCAUGGGGAGCAAACAGGAUUAGAUACCCCAGUAGUCCCUGUCUCUUAUAU